GUGGGGAAUCUUGCGCAAUGGGCGAAAGCCUGACGCAGCCAUGCCGCGUGAAUGAUGAAGGUCUUAGGAUUGUAAAAUUCUUUCACCGGGGACGAUAAUGACGGUACCCGGAGAAGAAGCCCCGGCUAACUUCGUGCCAGCAGCCGCGGUAAUACGAAGGGGGCUAGCGUUGCUCGGAAUUACUGGGCGUAAAGGGCGCGUAGGCGGACAGCUUAGUCAGAGGUGAAAGCCCAGGGCUCAACCUUGGAAUUGCCUUUGAUACUGGCUGUCUUGAGUUUGGGAGAGGUGAGUGGAACUCCGAGUGUAGAGGUGAAAUUCGUAGAUAUUCAGAAGAACACCAGUGGCGAAGGCGACUCACUGGCCCAAUACUGACGCUGAGGCGCGAAAGCGUGGGGAGCAAACAGGAUUAGAUACCCUGGUAGUCC
RNAcentral lists this ribosomal RNA (425 nucleotides) under uncultured bacterium. Its description in RNAcentral is "partial 16S ribosomal RNA". It matches the Rfam family "Bacterial small subunit ribosomal RNA", at positions 354 to 796 of the family's 1533-position model. The record is from RNAcentral.